AGAGUUUGAUCCUGGCUCAGAACGAACGCUGGCGGCAGGCCUAACACAUGCAAGUCGAACGCCCCGCAAGGGGAGUGGCAGACGGGUGAGUAACACGUGGGAACCUUCCCUUUGGUACGGAAUAACCCACCGAAAGGUGGAUUAAUGCCGCAUAAGCCCGAGAGGGGAAAGAUUUAUCGCCAAAGGAUGGGCCCGCGUAGGAUUAGCUAGUUGGUGAGGUAAUGGCUCACCAAGGCGACGAUCCUUAGCUGGUCUGAGAGGACGACCAGCCACACUGGGACUGAGACACGGCCCAGACUCCUACGGGAGGCAGCAGUGGGGAAUAUUGGACAAUGGGCGCAAGCCUGAUCCAGCCAUGCCGCGUGAGUGAUGAAGGCCUUCGGGUUGUAAAGCUCUUUUGGCGGGGACGAUAGUGACGGUACCCGCAGAAUAAGCCCCGGCUAACUUCGUGCCAGCAGCCGCGGUAAU
This 468-nucleotide ribosomal RNA is filed under the name uncultured bacterium. RNAcentral describes it as "bacterial SSU rRNA". It matches the Rfam family "Bacterial small subunit ribosomal RNA", at positions 8 to 524 of the family's 1533-position model. The record is from RNAcentral.